UACGGGGGGAGCAAGCGUUGUUCGGAUUUACUGGGCGUAAAGGGCGCGUAGGCGGCCUCUGCAAGUCGACUGUGAAAUCUCCGGGCUUAACCCGGAACGGUCAGCCGAUACUGCAGGGCUAGAGUACAGAAGGGGCAACUGGAAUUCUCGGUGUAGCGGUGAAAUGCGUAGAUAUCAGGAGGAACACCAAUGGCGAAGGCAGCUCGCUGGGACGGUACUGACGCUGAGACGCGAAAGCGUGGGGAGCAAACAGG
RNAcentral lists this ribosomal RNA (254 nucleotides) under uncultured bacterium. Its description in RNAcentral is "partial 16S ribosomal RNA". It matches the Rfam family "Bacterial small subunit ribosomal RNA", at positions 524 to 776 of the family's 1533-position model. The record is from RNAcentral.